Nicotiana tabacum (common tobacco) is the source of this 1316-nucleotide long non-coding RNA. RefSeq lists it as uncharacterized. NCBI's taxonomy places the organism in Eukaryota, Viridiplantae, Streptophyta, Magnoliopsida, Solanales, Solanaceae. The record is from RefSeq and is a predicted model, not a curated record.
CGGAUUCUAUAUUCAACAGCGAGUUCGCUAGACCUAGUGCACUUUGUAACUCUACAUCACAGUUAGAUCUCUUACCGAUGGGAAAGUAGAACUAGCAUACUGUCUCUCAAUAAGUAGGGACCAUCAUUGUGGUUUGACUCCAUUGAGAAGGAGUUCCCGAGUUUAUUUUGGCUAUUCCUCAUGUAGGGAGCCCUACUGAUUACAUUAUUCAUUCUUAGAAACCUACCAAGUGUAUGUAUUUGUUUGCAGCAUAGUAUUUUACAGUUCUUAUAGUUAUUGUUUUCAUGAAGGGGCUAUGAUGAUGUUCAUCAAUUACUGUACUGUCAUUUAAAUACUCUAUACAUGAUAUGAUUUAUGAUAGUUAUGGUUUUUAAAAAGGGUUUAUAACAUGUACUGUUAUAGGGUUAUGCUACAGUUGUAUCUUUCCGCUGUUUAAGUUCCUAAGGGAAGUGUCAUAGUAUAUUUACACUGGGGAUGUAUUGUUAUCUUUUGUACCAUUUUUACGAUUUAGAUUCUACAUUUCUUUUCUUUAGCUGAUCAGCUUAAUUUACCAAGGUCUAAGACAGUCGAAUCGAUUGGGUCACACACGUAAUCAGACACCAAAGACGUAUGACAAUGAUGCAUAUGGCUCCUUCUUUAGUAGAUUUAUGUGUUCAAAAAGCAAUAGAUAAUGUUAGAUUUCUUGGAGAUGUUGGUGAAACAGAGUUUCAUCUUCUUCAGCGAAUUUUGCCUCACUGUUCUCUUGAGCAGUUGAUACAUGUAGAGAAUUCAACACAAGGAAGAGAUCUUUGUCCAGUAACUAAUAAACUAAACUCUGGAAGAGAUUUUACAAGAUUCAGUUUGGUGAAAAAAGCACAAAUCAGGUUGUCCAAGACAUGAAGCUAAGGAAUGGAACAUUCAAAUGGAAACAAUUGUACGAGGCAAAGGUAGAGGAACUGGAAGAAACUCAACACAAGUUAUUCAAAAGAAUUGGGCAGUACUUAUACCUAAAGGAAGAUGGUAACUAAGCACUUCCUCAUAGCUGCAGCAACUAAGAAUAGGUGGUGUAGAUAUUGGGAAGAGGAGAUGGAGAGAGCAAUGGCAAGACAAAACUAGUGGCAAAAACGGAGUCAAGUUUUGAAGUUUAUAGGUCUGCCACCGAACCCAUUGCUCAUUUUAGUUACUAGGUUUGCAGUUAAAUAUUUUUAUAUAUUUGAUGAAUUUCAUAAUACAAAUAUAGAGUCUAAAUUCGUUCGAACCCGUACCUAAUAUUAUAGCUCUGCCCUGACUAGUGGUUGAAGAAAGUUUUAUUCAAAUAACUAUUGGACUGUAAAAUU